GAUGAACGCUGGCGGCGUGCCUAAUACAUGCAAGUCGAGCGAACAGACGAGGAGCUUGCUCCUCUGACGUUAGCGGCGGACGGGUGAGUAACACGUGGAUAACCUACCUAUAAGACUGGGAUAACUUCGGGAAACCGGAGCUAAUACCGGAUAACAUGUUGAACCGCAUGGUUCAACAGUGAAAGACGGUCUUGCUGUCACUUAUAGAUGGAUCCGCGCCGCAUUAGCUAGUUGGUAAGGUAACGGCUUACCAAGGCAACGAUGCGUAGCCGACCUGAGAGGGUGAUCGGCCACACUGGAACUGAGACACGGUCCAGACUCCUACGGGAGGCAGCAGUAGGGAAUCUUCCGCAAUGGGCGGAAUCCUGACGGAGCAACGCCGCGUGAGUGAAGAAGGUCUUCGGAUCGUAAAACUCUGUUAUUAGGGAAGAACAAAUGUGUAAGUAACUAUGCACGUCUUGACGGUACCUAAUCAGAAAGCCACGGCUAACUACGUG
This 497-nucleotide ribosomal RNA is filed under the name uncultured bacterium. Its description in RNAcentral is "partial 16S ribosomal RNA". It matches the Rfam family "Bacterial small subunit ribosomal RNA", at positions 28 to 507 of the family's 1533-position model. The record is from RNAcentral.